Long non-coding RNA from Cucumis sativus (cucumber), 323 nucleotides. RefSeq lists it as uncharacterized. The transcript is spliced from 3 exons. Lineage: Eukaryota; Viridiplantae; Streptophyta; Magnoliopsida; Cucurbitales; Cucurbitaceae. The record is from RefSeq and is a predicted model, not a curated record.
AAAAUAUUCAGUACGGUUGAGGCCGCAUUCGUCAUUGAUCCAAGAUCUAGGAAAAAUAUUAUCCAAACUGCUGGCAUUUCGUUUCGUCAGUUUAAGUGUUGGCUAACAACAAAAUAUAUUAUGCCACAUAAGGAUGAACCACAACUCCUACAAGUUCCACCAGAAAAGUAUUCAUUCAUUGAUCAACAUCAUUGGGCAGAAUUUGUAAGGUCUAGAUUGUGUGAAACUUUUCAGGAAAAAAGACUUCUGCAACAAGAUAGACGAUCUAAGAACAAGUAUAACCAUAGGAUUUCGAGGAAGGGUUAUGCCAAUCUUAUCGAGGA